RNAcentral lists this ribosomal RNA (433 nucleotides) under uncultured bacterium. RNAcentral describes it as "partial 16S ribosomal RNA". It matches the Rfam family "Bacterial small subunit ribosomal RNA", at positions 29 to 507 of the family's 1533-position model. The record is from RNAcentral.
AACGAACGCUGGCGGCAUGCCUAACACAUGCAAGUCGAACGACACCUUCGUGUCUGGUUGCUCACGGGUGCGUCACGCGUGGGAACCUGCCCUUAUGUUCGGAAUACCUCCCCUACGGGGGUGCUAAUACCGGAUAAUGUCUUCUAACCCAAGAUUUAUCGUGUUUGGAUGGGCCCGCGUUGUUUUAGCUUGUUGGUAUGGUAAAAGCCUAUCAAGGCGUCGAUAGAUAGCUGGUCUGAGAGGAAGAUCAGCCACACUGGGACUGAGACGCGGCCCAGACUACUACGGGAGGGAGGAGUGCGUGAUAUUGGAAAAUGGGGGAAAGGAUGAACGAGCAAGGCCGGGUGAGUGAUGAAGGCGGGAGAGAUGAAAAGCACUUUUACCCGGGACGAUAAUGACAGUACCGGGAGAAUAAGCACCGGCUAACUCCGUG